UACAUGGGGUGCAAACGUUGCUCGGAAUUAUUGGGCGUAAAGCGCGCGUAGGCGGUUACUUAAGUCGGAUGUGAAAGCCCUCGGCUUAACUGAGGAAGUGCACCCGAAACUGAGUAGCUAGAGUACGAAAGAGGGUCGCGGAAUUCCCGGUGUAGAGGUGAAAUUCGUAGAUAUCGGGAGGAACACCGGUGGCGAAGGCGGCGACCUGGGUCGAGACUGACGCUGAGGCGCGAAAGCGUGGGGAGCAAACAGGAUUAGAAACCCCCGUAGUCC
RNAcentral lists this ribosomal RNA (273 nucleotides) under uncultured bacterium. Its description in RNAcentral is "partial 16S ribosomal RNA". It matches the Rfam family "Bacterial small subunit ribosomal RNA", at positions 524 to 796 of the family's 1533-position model. The record is from RNAcentral.